Molecule: ribosomal RNA, 459 nt
Filed under: uncultured bacterium
Lineage: Bacteria
Description: partial 16S ribosomal RNA
Rfam family: Bacterial small subunit ribosomal RNA
Source: RNAcentral
CCUACGGGUGGCAGCAGUGAGGAAUAUUGGUCAAUGGCCGGAAGGCUGAACCAGCCAAGCCGCGUGAGGGAGGAAGGCGCAGAGCGUCGCAGACCUCUUUUGCCGGGGGACAAAAGGCCGGACGGGUCCGGUUCUGAGGGUAUCCGGACAAAAAGCAUCGGCGAACUCCGCGCCAGCAGCCGCGGUAAUACGGAGGAUGCGAGCGUUAUCCGGAUUCAUGGGGGUUAAGGGGUGCGCAGUCGGGCCUUCAAGCCGGCGGGGAAAGCGGGGGGCUCAACCCGGCCGAGCCGUCGAAACUGGGGGCCUUGAGUGCGGCGGAGGCAUGCGGAAUGCGCGGUGUAGCGGUGAAAUGCGUAGAUAUCGCGCAGAACCCAGAUUGCGAAGGCGGCGUGCCGUGCCGCCACUGACGCUGAGGCACGAAAGCGCGGGGAUCGAACAGGAUUAGAUACCCGAGUAGUC